This is an RNA transcript of Hevea brasiliensis (rubber tree), 2594 nucleotides long. RefSeq lists it as uncharacterized. The record is from RefSeq and is a predicted model, not a curated record. Lineage: Eukaryota; Viridiplantae; Streptophyta; Magnoliopsida; Malpighiales; Euphorbiaceae. The transcript has 9 exons.
GAUAUUUAGUAAAUCACAUGGCAUAAAAAGAUUACAAAGAUAAAGGCAAGAGAGGGACUUUAAAUAUUCAAACAAGAUAGUGUGAGAGCAGAAGGUUCAUAGCUUAAAAUGGCACUACCUUCAUUUCAAUUAUGGCUUGCGUUGCUGCUGCUUGCAGCAGUAUGUGCAUCUGCAGUAAAUCCUAGGAUAUUUGCUGGAUUAGGUGGGUUAAAAAGAUUAGCCGCCAGCAGGUCCUUUAGCGAUCUUCCACCAGAAUAUGAAAUACAUUACUACAGACAGACACUCGAUCAUUUCAACUAUAAACCAGAAAGUUAUGCUACAUUUCAGCACAGAUAUAUUUUGAAUUACAAGUACUGGGGUGGGGCAAAUACUAGUUCACCUAUCUUUGUUUAUACAGGUGAAGAGGGCGAUAUAACAUAUGAUGUUGAGGGUUUCAUUCUUGAUCUUGCUGCUCGUUUUAAAGGUUUGCUAUUGUAUAUAGAGCAUCGUUACUAUGGAAAAUCAAUGCCUUUUGGAUCUGAAAAUCAAACAUUUCAAAAUUCCAGCACCCUUGGAUACUUGAGCUCAGAACAAGCCUUAGCAGAUUAUGCACAGGUGAUAGUACAUGUUAAGAAGAACCUGUCGGCAGAAAAUUGUCCAGCUAUUGCGGUUGGAGGAUCUUAUGGUGGGAUGCUCGCAUCUUGGUUUCGUCUGAAAUACCCUCAUAUUAUAAUUGGUGCUUUGGCAUCAUCUGCUCCAAUACUGUACUUUGAGGAUAUCACACCACAGGAUGGAUACCAUGCUGUUGUAUCUAGGAAUUUCAGAAAUACCAGUGAAAGUUGCUACAACACCAUUAAAAAGUCCUGGUCCGAAAUUGAUAGAGUUGGAGCUGAAACUAAUGGUCUUCUAACCCUUGGCAACAUCUUCAAUUCUUGCAUGCCUUUGAACUCAUCACAAGAGCUGAAGGACUACCUAGCGCUCAUUUAUAAGGUGUCAGCACAAUUUGACAAUCCUCCAGAUUAUUAUGUAGAGAAUUUGUGUAAGGCCAUUGAUGGAGCACCUCAAGGGACUGAUACUCUUGGAAGAGUUGCUGCUGGUCUAGAUGCCAGUACUAUUUUUGGAGAAGGUUCGUGCCUUUAUGUAUAUGAACCUCCAGUUAUAUUCAGACAGAGUGCAUGGUCAUGGCAGAAAUGCACCGAGAUGGUAAUACCAAUGGGGGUUGAUAACAAUAACACAAUGUUCGAGUUAUCACCCUUUGAUCUCAAUAACUUCACAAAAACCUGCCAAGAAGUUUUCGGUGUCACCCCAAGGCCUAGUUGGGUCCCUGUACAAUUUGGUGGCCGUGUGAUCAGGUUUUCAUUUCCUAUAUUGCCACCGGCGGACGUCGCAUGGGGCAGUGGAGCCAACUGUCCCACUGACUUCCGAAAAUACUGCGCAGAGUUUGUCAAAUAACAAAUGUUCAAUUCAUAGAGAUACGUAUAAGCUUCAACUUUUUGGUUGAGCAGCAUUUUAACAUGAUAUAUACAAGCCACCUCAUCAACUAGAAGAUCAUAAAUCAUAGUCCGUUGAUCAAACUUCAAGCCCAGAUGACAGUGAAUCACGUUCAAUUAUAUAUUUUCAAGCAACAUCAUUUUCAGCAGAGUGGUAGUUGAAAAGAUUCAGAACUUCUGGAAACUCUAUUUGACUGAGUUCUGUAGGUGUCUGAUAUACCUUGUAAUUGAGUGUCUGAAUUAUGUAGUUGGCUACAAGAUUCUGAUUAAGAUGGGUGUAUCAUCAGGUUCUCACUCUUUGGAUCUUGCUAUUCCCCAGCAGGUCCAAAUGGCAACUUAUAGCGACUGCAUGUGCAUCAGGAGAUAGAUAUAUCACUUACAAUGGCAACCUUCCCAGCAAGCCUGACAACAAAAGUCGGCUAAAAUAUUCUCCGUGGGUCUGCUUGUCACAUUGUGUGAAGGACGCUUAGGGAUUGCCUAGUCAAAAUUGUCACUGAUUACAGAACUGAAACAUCUCUUAGACAUGGGUGCAAUGAUAUUCUUAAGGCAGAUUGUGUGAACCUCUUAGUCAAAUACUACAAGGAAGCAAGACGGGGAGUUUGCUUAAGUAGUGAAGGAUAUGAUACGCAAGCGAUAAGUGACGAUAGUAGGGAUUCUCAGGCGACUGAGAGAACAUUGAGCAUUAGAACAAUGGAGGUCAAGUCGAAAACAAGGGGAGAUUCAAGAUGUUGCAUGUGUUUUGAUCCCUUCUCUAUACAAAAUGUGUCGGUUAUUGUAUUCUUUUGCUGUCAUGCUUAUCACAUGACUUGUUUAAUGGAUUCCAUGCAUACUGUAAGUGGCCAAAAAGUGAGUGGAGAAAACAAUGAAUAUGAUGAUGAUGACGAUGAAGAAGAUGAUGAUACUCAAUCCUGUAGUCCUCGAUUGCGAUGCAUUUUGUGUACUACUGCUGCCAGUUGAGAUAGUGUGUUCCUUUUUUUCCCCCUUUUUAGCCUGGGGAGUGGGGAAUGGGUGGGUAUUGUAGGAGUUUUUACUAUUUUACCAGGCUUUUCUUUUCUUUUUUCUUUCAUUUUUUUCGUGUCAAUAUAUGAUAUAUGUGUGGUAUUCAUCAACAUGCCAUUUUUGAUA